RNAcentral lists this ribosomal RNA (399 nucleotides) under Eriothrix rufomaculata. RNAcentral's name for it is "Eriothrix rufomaculatus partial 12S ribosomal RNA". Lineage: Eukaryota; Metazoa; Arthropoda; Insecta; Diptera; Tachinidae. The record is from RNAcentral.
UCUGGGAUUAGAUACCCUGUUAUUAAAAAUGUAAAUUUAUAACUUAGGUAGUAAUAGUUAUGGUCUUGAAACUUAAAAAAUUUGGCGGUAUUUUAAUUUAUUCAGAGGAACCUGUUUUAUAAUCGAUAAUCCACGAUGGACCUUACUUAAAUUUGUUAUCAGUUUAUAUACCGUUGUUAUUAGAAUAUUUUAUUAGAAUUGUUAAUUUUCUUAAUUUUUUAUAGGAAAAUAUAUCAGAUCAAGGUGUAGCUUAUAUUUAAGUAAAAAUGGGUUACAAUAAAAUUAUUUAUAUGAAUUUAAAUUUUAAAUGUUUAUUGAAAUUGGAUUUGAAAGUAAAAUUAUAUAGAUUAAUAAUUUGAUUUUAACUCUAAAAUAUGCACAAAUCGCCCGUCACUCUCU